RNAcentral lists this ribosomal RNA (459 nucleotides) under Streptomyces halstedii. RNAcentral's name for it is "partial 23S ribosomal RNA". It matches the Rfam family "Bacterial large subunit ribosomal RNA", at positions 2473 to 2925 of the family's 2925-position model. The record is from RNAcentral. Lineage: Bacteria; Bacillati; Actinomycetota; Actinomycetes; Kitasatosporales; Streptomycetaceae.
GAUAACAGGCUGAUCUUCCCCAAGAGUCCAUAUCGACGGGAUGGUUUGGCACCUCGAUGUCGGCUCGUCGCAUCCUGGGGCUGGAGUCGGUCCCAAGGGUUGGGCUGUUCGCCCAUUAAAGCGGUACGCGAGCUGGGUUUAGAACGUCGUGAGACAGUUCGGUCCCUAUCCGCUGUGCGCGUAGGAAUAUUGAGAAGGGCUGUCCCUAGUACGAGAGGACCGGGACGGACGAACCUCUGGUGUGCCAGUUGUUCUGCCAAGGGCAUGGCUGGUUGGCUACGUUCGGAAAGGAUAACCGCUGAAAGCAUCUAAGCGGGAAGCCUGCUUCGAGAUGAGUGUUCCCACCACCUUGAGUGGUUAAGGCUCCCAGUAGACGACUGGGUUGAUAGGCCAGAUGUGGAAGCCCGGUAACGGGUGGAGCUGACUGGUACUAAUAGGCCGAGGGCUUGUCCUCAGUUG